UUACCAUGCAGUCGAACGGUGAACACGGAGCUUGCUCUGUGGGAUCAGUGGCGAACGGGUGAGUAACACGUGAGCAACCUGCCCCUGACUCUGGGAUAAGCGCUGGAAACGGCGUCUAAUACUGGAUAUGUGACGUGAUCGCAUGGUCUGCGUCUGGAAAGAAUUUCGGUUGGGGAUGGGCUCGCGGCCUAUCAGCUUGUUGGUGAGGUAAUGGCUCACCAAGGCGUCGACGGGUAGCCGGCCUGAGAGGGUGACCGGCCACACUGGGACUGAGACACGGCCCAGACUCCUACGGGAGGCAGCAGUGGGGAAUAUUGCACAAUGGGCGCAAGCCUGAUGCAGCAACGCCGCGUGAGGGAUGACGGCCUUCGGGUUGUAAACCUCUUUUAGCAGGGAAGAAGCGAAAGUGACGGUACCUGCAGAAAAAGCGCCGGCUAACUACGUGCCAGCAGCCGCGGUAAUACGUAGGGCGCAAGCGUUAUCCGGAAUUAUUGGGCGUAAAGAGCUCGUAGGCGGUUUGUCGCGUCUGCUGUGAAAUCCGGAGGCUCAACCUCCGGCCUGCAGUGGGUACGGGCAGACUAGAGUGCGGUAGGGGAGAUUGGAAUUCCUGGUGUAGCGGUGGAAUGCGCAGAUAUCAGGAGGAACACCGAUGGCGAAGGCAGAUCUCUGGGCCGUAACUGACGCUGAGGAGCGAAAGGGUGGGGAGCAAACAGGCUUAGAUACCCUGGUAGUCCACCCCGUAAACGUUGGGAACUAGUUGUGGGGUCCAUUCCACGGAUUCCGUGACGCAGCUAACGCAUUAAGUUCCCCGCCUGGGGAGUACGGCCGCAAGGCUAAAACUCAAAGGAAUUGACGGGGACCCGCACAAGCGGCGGAGCAUGCGGAUUAAUUCGAUGCAACGCGAAGAACCUUACCAAGGCUUGACAUAUACGAGAACG
Molecule: ribosomal RNA, 938 nt
Filed under: Microbacterium maritypicum
Lineage: Bacteria; Bacillati; Actinomycetota; Actinomycetes; Micrococcales; Microbacteriaceae
Description: bacterial SSU rRNA
Rfam family: Bacterial small subunit ribosomal RNA
Source: RNAcentral